This 890-nucleotide long non-coding RNA is filed under the name Sorghum bicolor (sorghum). RNAcentral describes it as "long non-coding RNA (SBIC_LNC014048)". The record is from RNAcentral. Lineage: Eukaryota; Viridiplantae; Streptophyta; Magnoliopsida; Poales; Poaceae.
GAGAUUUAUUUUGAAAACUUACAAAUCACAUGAUGAGUUCCUAGCAUUACAAACUACCUACCACAGCAAUACUUGCUAUAACAUCUUUUACUUAUAUUCACAUUGAGUUUGAUCGAGCUGUGUAGACCCUUAGGAGCUUUUCAUGUGGUUAAAUUAAGAUAUUCACUUGCAAACAUCUACCACACCAUUCAUCACCAAUCAUUAAAAUUGCUAAAAAUAUUAUCACUCACUGUCCCAAAUGUUGUUAUUCACUCUCUUUGAAAAGAUUUAAUGCAGAAGAGGCAUGGGUUAUGCAAAAAUAUGUGAGGAAAUAAAAAGGGGUAAGUGCCCAGAACCUCGAAAAAGAAAGAAAAAAAGUGAGACGAGAGGUAAAAAUGGACAAGUGUCCGAAGUAGAAUUAGGGGUAUAAAGAUGCCCACUUGAGCGGAAAAAAUGGACAAGUGUCCGACAGUAUAAUUAGGGGUAUCUACUACCCACCUGAAAAAAAGAGACAGAAAGAUAGCCCAUGUUCUCCCAAAGCAAAGAUCAAAAUGGAGGAGAGAUAGCAAUAUGAGGAGCAAUGAGAACUAAGUUUUAUUAUCACUUAUACAUUUUUACCAUUACUAUCAUUUACUCCACCACGCAUGCACAUCUUGAUUUAAUUAUAUGUUGAGUUCCUUUGGAUCCAUGGCUCGAUUAGACAACAUAUGUAUGAGCUGUUUUUCACUCCUAUGAGCUCCACUUAAAUAUUUCAUUAGCUAUAUGUAAGUGACAUUUUGGUAAGGAUCCACAAAUACCUAAUCCUGGGCAUUCGGGUUACCCGAUUUUUUUGGGUCGGGUAAUUCGGGUAAUUCAAAAUUCGGGUAAUGAAACUUGUUACCUGAUAUUAGUCCCGAAAAAACACUACCCGC